AAGUCGUAACAAGGUUUCCGUAGGUGAACCUGCGGAAGGAUCAUUAACACGUAUCCAAACGUCAAAACCCCCCCCGUGAACAUUGAUUCCUGCUCUUGUAACCCGCGAAGCUUGCAUCUCUGGUAAAUCAUAGCCCGGAAAGUAGUUUUGAUUCAGAGACCUCUGGCCCGUGCGAAAAUUGGAACAGUUACAAUUCGAGCGGUAGUUCUAUAGGACUUGUUUCCCCAUGCCCCCUUACAACCCCACAGUUAAAUGUGAAGCUCAAUGUAAUACAUUGGGUCAAAAACCGAACAACUGUUAACAAUGGAUAUCUUGGUUCUC
RNAcentral lists this unclassified non-coding RNA (321 nucleotides) under fungal sp. RNAcentral describes it as "partial internal transcribed spacer region". The stretch from base 1 to 46 matches the Rfam family "Eukaryotic small subunit ribosomal RNA", at positions 1786 to 1831 of the family's 1831-position model. Lineage: Eukaryota; Fungi. The record is from RNAcentral.